GACGAACGCUGGCGGCGUGCUUAACACAUGCAAGUCGAACGGUAAGGCCCUGCUUUCGGGGUACUCGAGUGGCUAACGGGUGAGUAAGACGUAGGUGAGCUGCCCUGCACUUCGGGUUAGGCUUGGGAGACUGGGUCUAAUACCUGAUAGGUGCCAUCUUUAGUGUGGUGGUUGGAAAGGUUUUUGGGUGUAGGAAGGGCUCGCGGCCUAUCGGCUUGUUGGUGUGGUAAUGGCCUACCAAGGCGGCGACGGGUAGCCGGGCUGAGAGGGUGUACGGCCCACUUGGGACUGGGAGAAGGCCCAGACCCCCACGGGAGGCAGGCGUGGGGAAUAUUGCAAAAUGGGCGCGAGCCUGAUGCAGCGACGCCGGGUGGGGGAUGAACGCCUUACGGUUGUAAACCCCCUUCGAUAGGGAAGAAGCUUUUUGUGACGGUACCUAGAUAAGAAGCACCGGCUAACUACGUG
This 465-nucleotide ribosomal RNA is filed under the name uncultured bacterium. Its description in RNAcentral is "partial 16S ribosomal RNA". It matches the Rfam family "Bacterial small subunit ribosomal RNA", at positions 28 to 507 of the family's 1533-position model. The record is from RNAcentral.